AGAGUUUGAUCAUGGCUCAGAUUGAACGCUGGCGGCAUGCUUAAUACAUGCAAGUCGAACGGUAACAUGCCCUCCGGGGUGAUGACGAGUGGCGGACGGGUGAGUAACGCAUAGGAAUCUACCUAGUAGUGGGGGACAACUUGGGGAAACUCAAGCUAAUACCGCAUACAUCCUACGGGAAAAAGAGGGCCUCUUCUUGAAAGCUCUUGCUAUUAGAUGAGCCUAUGUCAGAUUAGCUUGUUGGUGGGGUAACGGCCUACCAAGGCGACGAUCUGUAGCUGGUCUGAGAGGAUGAUCAGCCACACUGGGACUGAGACACGGCCCAGACUCCUACGGGAGGCAGCAGUAGGGAAUAUUGGACAAUGGGCGCAAGCCUGAUCCAGCAAUGCCGCGUGUGUGAAGAAGGCCUGGCGGUUGGAAAGGACUUUCCAUUAGGAAGAAAAGCUCAAGGUUAAUAA
RNAcentral lists this ribosomal RNA (458 nucleotides) under uncultured bacterium. Its description in RNAcentral is "bacterial SSU rRNA". It matches the Rfam family "Bacterial small subunit ribosomal RNA", at positions 8 to 466 of the family's 1533-position model. The record is from RNAcentral.